RNAcentral lists this ribosomal RNA (252 nucleotides) under uncultured bacterium. Its description in RNAcentral is "partial 16S ribosomal RNA". It matches the Rfam family "Bacterial small subunit ribosomal RNA", at positions 524 to 776 of the family's 1533-position model. The record is from RNAcentral.
UACGGAGGAUGCGAGCGUUAUCCGGAUUUAUUGGGUUUAAAGGGUGCGUAGGCGGACUGUCAAGUCAGCGGUAAAAUUGAGAGGCUCAACCUCUUCCCGCCGUUGAAACUGGUGGUCUUGAGUGGAUGAGAAGUACGCGGAAUGCGUGGUGUAGCGGUGAAAUGCAUAGAUAUCACGCAGAACUCCGAUUGCGAAGGCAGCGCACCGGCAUCCAACUGACGCUGAGGCACGAAAGCGUGGGGAUCAAGCAGG